RNA transcript from Oenanthe melanoleuca, 2783 nucleotides. It is a transcript of the gene named major facilitator superfamily domain containing 8, with no coding region annotated. The transcript is spliced from 13 exons. Lineage: Eukaryota; Metazoa; Chordata; Aves; Passeriformes; Muscicapidae. The record is from RefSeq and is a predicted model, not a curated record.
CCCUGGCGGCCGGCGUGAGGCGGGCGCGGGCAGGGCCCGGCGCUGCGGGGCCAUGGCGGCCGCGGGCUCCGCUCCGGAGGCGCGUUCCGACGGGCAGGAGCCCCUGCUGGGGUCCGCUGGGGCCGCGGCGGAUGAGGACGAGGAGGAGGAGAGCAGGGAUGUUGUGGAAACACAGGAGCAUUAUAAGAGCAGGUGGCGAUCCAUCUGGAUCAUGUACCUGACAAUGUUUCUCAGUAGUGUAGGUUUCUCAAUUGUAAUUAUGUCUGUGUGGCCGUAUCUCCAAAAGAUUGAUCCAACAGCGGAUGCAAGUUUCUUGGGCUGGAUUAUAGCUUCAUACAGCAUUGGCCAAAUGGUUGCCUCACCCCUCUUUGGCUUGUGGUCCAACUACAGGCCCAGGAGAGAACCUCUGGUCAUUUCCACUGCUAUUUCAGUAGCUGCUAAUUGUCUCUAUGCCUACGUCCACGUGCCCCAUUCCCACAACAAGUACUACAUGCUGACUGCCCGUGCUCUCGUGGGGUUUGGAGCAGGAAAUGUGGCUGUAGUUCGAUCGUAUAUUGCGGGUGCCACUUCUCUAACAGAAAGAACGAGUGCCAUGGCCAAUACCAGUGCCUGCCAAGCAGUUGGCUUCAUACUGGGGCCAGUUUUUCAGACAUGUUUUACACUUAUUGGAGAAGAAGGAGUAACGUGGAAAUUCCUUUGUCUUCAGCUGAACAUGUAUACAACACCAGUUUUAUUUGGAGCUCUUUUAGGAGUUAUUAAUAUUAUUCUCAUCUUUGCCAUAUUCAGGGAGCAUCGAGUGGAUGACAUGGGACGGCAGUACAAAAGUAUCAAUUCUGAUGGAGAAGGAAGUGAUGUUCUGGAUCAGAACGCAGAAGGAAGCAUUGACCACGUUGCUGUGGUAGCACUCAACAUUCUCUUCUUUGUCAUCUUGUUUGUGUUUGCUGUCUUUGAAACUAUAGCUACUCCACUGACAAUGGAUAUGUAUUCCUGGACCAGAAAAGAAGCUGUUUUUUAUAAUGGGAUAAUCCUUAGCGUAAUUGGCAUUGAAUCAGUUAUUGUUUUUAUGGUGGUUAAAACACUAUCAAAAAAGACUGGUGAGCGUGCCAUACUCCAUGCAGGCUUACUGAUUGUCUUGGUUGGAUUCUUUAUCUUACUGCCUUGGGGAAAGAAACUACCAAAUAUCCAGUGGCAAGAAAUAAAGAACAACUCCAUUCCCAGAACAGCCCCCAGUGAAAUGUUAGCACCUUUCUGGAGCUUGCCAGAACUGCAGCUGCCAUCCAACCACACAGCAGAACCCGUGGGCUGCCCUGUCACACAGUCCUGGUGCCUGAACACUCCCAUGAUCUACCUGGCCCAGUACAUCAGCUCUGACGUGCUUAUAGGGUUGGGCUAUCCUGUUUGUAAUGUCAUGUCCUACACUUUAUACUCAAAAGUCCUAGGACCAAAGCCUCAGGGUGUCUACAUGGGAUGGUUGACGGCCUCUGGAAGUGGAGCACGGAUCCUUGGGCCUGUUUUUGUGAGCCAAAUCUACACUCACCUGGGGCCACGCUGGGCAUUCAGCUUGAUCUGUGGAGUGGUUGUAGUCUCUCUCUUACUUUUGGAGAUAGUAUACAAAAGACUAAUUGCAUUUUCUGUCAGAUAUGGGAGGAUGCAGGAAGAGAACUGUUAAAUACAUAUUUUAAAAAAACCCCAAACAGUAAAACCAAGCAGAAGUAAUACUUAGUUUAUUACUGCUUUUGAAUGAGGAGUACUCAACCACUGACCUUGUUGGCUGUGUGCUAACAACUGUACAACUAUACUUAUAGAUUGACAGAACACUUAACGUGGUCAUAUCCCAAUACCUGGUUACCGCUGCUGCAGUUGGCUUUUGUCUUCUACUUUUCUAGCAGCAGAGGAAGGAAUGUGAUGGGUUAGAGUGAUACAAGGCACAUUUGAAGUGUGUACAGUUUAUGUGAUGUACAUGUGCACUGAGUGCAGCUGUGAAGGUCACAGGUUAUGUGUAUCCUUUUCCAGAAAGAAGUAAAAGAAAUAUUAUCUUGAUUCUGUGAAUCAGGAUUAGUAACUCUUUUGUACCUAGAUUAGUUGAGCUGCAUGCACUUUGUAUGGAGACACCACUACUUGAGCAAACCUCCUGAUGUUGGGUGUGUUGGCUUGUAAGCACUGGUUGAUACAGAUCAUCUGGUUCUGGAACCUGGUACAUCUCCUCUAGGAUUCCAAAUGACAAGUGAGAGAGGCAGAGAGGAAGGUAGGUGCCCUUCAUACAGGUAGUUGGUGUGGGAUUUGGGUCUUUCAGUUGAACAAGAGCCAUUGAAAAUCAAAGGAUAACCUGCAGCAUUGAAAUAUGCACUGCUUUUCUUAACUACAAGGAAAAAAGUCUUAAGCACGAUAGUUUACACUUGUGUGCUUGGUGAAAAUGAAUGCACUGUGCUGAGCAGUGGUGAUUAAUUAAGUGAAAGGAGAAAACUGGCUCCUGGGUGUUCACUGUUAUCUGCAGACUUCUAUUUUUUUCUGAUAUUAGGGUACAAGAAACAGGAAUUGAUACUGUUUUAGUCAUUCAGAUUUUAUUUUUAAAAGUGAGACUCUAAUUUUCCUUCAUAAUGGGGUCUAAGCUCAUCUGUACAGGUUUGUUCAGCUGUUUUAAUGCUACUGGGAAAAAAACCUCUGGAGUAACUCCAGUAUGAAUUGUGGCUGCUGUCUCUACCAUUUUAAUUUAAUAAAUGUAAUUCCUAUGUACUCAAUUGUUCAAACACUAAGAUACUACUGAAUUAAAAGAUGUUUUUUUU